Long non-coding RNA from Bombina bombina (fire-bellied toad), 1936 nucleotides. RefSeq lists it as uncharacterized. NCBI's taxonomy places the organism in Eukaryota, Metazoa, Chordata, Amphibia, Anura, Bombinatoridae. The record is from RefSeq and is a predicted model, not a curated record. The transcript has 2 exons.
GGACUAUCUGUACAGCCAGCAGGCGGAUCAGUGGCAGCUGCACCAGGAACAUCUACCCCGUCAACAUCGGCAGUUGGUGUGGCUACAGGUCCUUCUCGUAUCUGGAUAAUAGGGCACUCCUACGUGCACUGGGCGGCACUGAAGGCCCAUUCUCUUCCUGAGGGGCAGCAGUUGGGGAUUCCGACGUCUCAGGCAUCAAUACGGUGGUUGGGCCGUAGAGGCUUACAGUGGGAUGGUUUGCCUGCCCUCCUCCAGAAUGCCAGACAUCGAUGGGGACAGCCCCACAUCAUCCUCCUUCACAUGGGGGGAAAUGAUAUAGGGAGUGCACCUGCUCUAGAUCUCAUCAAUGCGAUGAGGUCGGAUGUCAAGUGGAUCUGUACCACGUUUCCGGGGGUUAGGCUGGCCUGGUCCAACAUAAUCCCCCGGCUGCGUUGGAGAUAUUUCCCCACACCGAGGAUAGCAUAUAGGGUUAGGAAAAAAGUUAACAGGGAGCUGGGUAGAGCAGUAAUAGAGGUAGGGGGUUUUGUGGUCCGCCAUGAACUGAUCUCAGCGGACAAAAAAGGGCUGUAUCGCCCGGACGGGGUGCACCUGUCCGACGAAGGGCUGGCGAUCUUCCUGGUGGACCUCAAAACGGCUCUGGUUAGUAAUAUUUAGCGGGUGGCGGCAAGAGCCCGGUUUAUGUGGGAGUGCCUGUCUCUUGUGGCGGGAGGUCGUAGCCAUCAACAAUUGAGGGCGGAGUCUGUAGAGGUGACAGUCGGGCUAAUGGGCGGGGGUGAUGUCCUCAGGUCGUGACCUGGGGGGCCCCGCCCCGCGGGUCUGCUGGCUGAAGAUCCUUUAGGACGUCCGCGCCUACUAGACGGAAUGGGGUGGGGCCACAUUUGUGCCCACCCUUGGCAUUUGCUAUUCCACGACAUCUGGCUGCGACCUCUUGUCAUAUGGAGCUAAUAGUUUACUAGGCCUCGAAUGCCGCCACAAGUUAAAUAUUUGAAUGACUUCCGUUGAAGUCAAGUUAAUAAAUGUGACCAUCGUUAUGGUCUUUAAAUCCCAGCUAUCUGUGUCGUGUCUUUAUUUAUAAGUUAAGUAGUUAUGUUAAGUUGUUUUGAAGGGGUUGGAACUACCAGAUACAGCAUCAGCCCUUAGGGGAAUGAAAGGUAGCAGAGUCUCCUGUAAUGGAGUUAAGGGAUGAGCUGACAGGCUAGUGGAAAAUCCCAGUGUAGUGUAGCAGCAACAAUGUUGCAAAGUGAGGGGAGGUCUUAGGCUCACCUAAUAUAAACGAAGUUCUGGAACAAUCUGGCCUCUUCCACCUGGGAUUUUGCAAGGAGAAAGUUUCCCUCCCUCCCAACCCUAUUGUUGAAUGGUUAAUUAAGUAAUUGCUAUUGCAACAGUUUUUAGGCGUCAUUCAGGCAGAUGGCUUCCCGGACGGGUUGCUGGUCCUUUAGAUGCGAAAGGCAGGGAUGGGGUUAGUUGACCUAGUCUUGGUAAGACCUUAGCCGUAAUUUAUUUGCUUCCUGGGCGAGCCUUGCUGCAGGGCUUGGCCAUACCAGUGCCUUAGAGGCUGAAGCGCAUCAUAACAUCCACGUAUCUCCUAAUGGCGGGAGGUCGUAGCCAUCAACAAUUGAGGGCGGAGUCUGUAGAGGUGACAGUCGGGCUAAUGGGCGGGGGUGAUGUCCUCAGGUCGUGACCUGGGGGGCCCCGCCCCGCGGGUCUGCUGGCUGAAGAUCCUUUAGGACGUCCGCGCCUACUAGACGGAAUGGGGUGGGGCCACAUUUGUGCCCACCCUUGGCAUUUGCUAUUCCACGACAUCUGGCUGCGACCUCUUGUCAUAUGGAGCUAAUAGUUUACUAGGCCUCGAAUGCCGCCACAAGUUAAAUAUUUGAAUGACUUCCGUUGAAGUCAAGUUAAUAAAUGUGACCAUCGUUAUGGUCUUUAAAUCCCA